RNAcentral lists this ribosomal RNA (666 nucleotides) under Pseudechiniscus sp. 10 PG-2020. RNAcentral's name for it is "partial large subunit ribosomal RNA". It matches the Rfam family "Eukaryotic large subunit ribosomal RNA", at positions 71 to 608 of the family's 3401-position model. The record is from RNAcentral. Lineage: Eukaryota; Metazoa; Tardigrada; Heterotardigrada; Echiniscoidea; Echiniscidae.
GGGAUUCCCUUAGUAACGGCGAGUGAAGAGGGAGAAGCCCAGCGCUGAAUCGUAUAGCUAGCAAUGGUUGUGCGAAAUGUAGCGUGAAGUUGGCGGCUAUUGCUGUUGUCGAUGCGUGUAAGUCUCCUUGAGUGGGGCUCAGUCCCAGAGAUGGUGCUAGGCCCGUAUCGCGCGUGACAGGUACAGCAAUGUACGUUAACGGAGAGUCAGGUUGCUUGGGAACGCAAUCUAAAGCCGGUGGUACACUCCAUCGAAGGCUAAAUAUGGCUACGAGUCCGAUAGCGAACAAGUACCGUGAGGGAAAAUUGAAAAGCACUUUGAAGAGAGAGCGAAAUAGUGCGUGAAACCGCUCAGAGGUAAGCAGAUGGGCCUUUGAAGGUGUGCAUAGGAUUUAUUUCCUAGUUCGUACGCCACCGUCGUUGCUUGAUUUUAUGGUGCGCCAUGCGCUGACAUUUGGACACCCGAGAUUGGGACUCGUGCCUGCUCGGGAUGCUCGGUGUUGGACGUAAUGAGUAUAGCGGCACUCGGUAACGAAGCAGGGCAUUGUCGUUGCUGUAAAGCGCCGGCUGUGUUUGCUUGCUGGCGUAUUUUGCUGUUGUAACGAGACGCAAGUCUCGGUAUGCGGCGUACGUUGCAACUCAAGCAUUAGCCCCGGCAUAACGACUU